GAUGAACGCUGGCGGCGUGCUUAACACAUGCAAGUCGAACGGAAAGGCCCAAGCUUGCUUGGGUACUCGAGUGGCGAACGGGUGAGUAACACGUGGGUGAUCUGCCCUGCACUUCGGGAUAAGCCUGGGAAACUGGGUCUAAUACCGGAUAGGACCACUUCUUGGAUGUUGUGGUGGAAAGUUUUUUCGGUGUGGGAUGAGCUCGCGGCCUAUCAGCUUGUUGGUGGGGUAAUGGCCUACCAAGGCGUCGACGGGUAGCCGGCCAGGGAGGGUGUACGGCCACAUUGAGUCUGAGAGACGGCACAGACUCCGACGGGAGGCAGCAGUGGGGAAGCUUGCACGAUGGGCGCCAGCCGGAUGCAGCGACGCCGCGUGGGGGAUGACGGCCUUCGGGUUGUAAACUCCUUUCGCUAGGGACGAAGCGUUUUGUGACGGUACCUGGAGAAGAAGCCCCGGCUAACUACGUG
This 467-nucleotide ribosomal RNA is filed under the name uncultured bacterium. RNAcentral's name for it is "partial 16S ribosomal RNA". It matches the Rfam family "Bacterial small subunit ribosomal RNA", at positions 28 to 507 of the family's 1533-position model. The record is from RNAcentral.